Molecule: long non-coding RNA, 300 nt
Organism: Uranotaenia lowii
Lineage: Eukaryota; Metazoa; Arthropoda; Insecta; Diptera; Culicidae
Exons: 2
Source: RefSeq, a predicted model, not a curated record
UUUGCAGUCGAUUUUCUCUGCAGGCGAGAGGGCAUUAUCUGGGAUGGUGCUCUUCCACGGUUCCGGCUGCAAGUAAGCUAUUGAUAAAGCUUAAGAUUCCCCCGAUCGCGGAGACGGCAGUGGAAAAUAGCCGUCGAAAAUGUGCAGCAUGGAAUUUGGCCGAUCUGAUAAAAUUGCUACAACAGGCGCAGACCGGAUUCCAAUCGAGAAGCAAAUUAAGCUUUCUUUAAAUUUAAAAAAAUAGUGAAAAUUGUGAUAAUGAAAGUGCUUAAAAACAUCAAUAAAAUGUAUUAUUUUGAA